GAGAAUCCUGAAUUCGAAAGGGGUUUGGAGUCCAGCAGUUCUGGAAUCGGGCCGUCCCCUGCCAGAUGGCGUCGGUCGCCCGCGGCGAUUCACUUCGCUCGCGGUGUCGAUCCCGACCUGUCACUCGGCGGGGGGCCGUUAAGACGAGACCGGAGCGCCGCAUUUCCACCCUAGUAGAAACGUCGCGACCCGUUGGGUGCCGGUCUCAAGGCCCGGGAAGGCAGACCGCUGCGUUUCGCGGGGGCUCCCGCGGGCGUGCGGACUCCCGGUGUCCCGACCGGCUGCCCGACGGUAAGACCAGAGGAGUCGAUCCGCUGUUGUAAGAAACACUUUGGUUGUGAAGCGUCCGGCCCGGCGCCGAUGCGCGACGAGGCUUAGGGGUAUAUGUCUAUAGGUGUGACCCCAGGGAAUCAACCGUGCCCGGCACGGUCCCGGCCUCUCGCGGUCUCGGCUGUCGUUGUGUCCUCGGACCGGAUCGGUACUCCCGUCUGCGACGCCCAUCUUCGGAUGGUCUCCCGACCCGUCUUGAA
Molecule: ribosomal RNA, 530 nt
Filed under: Isagoras taeniatus
Lineage: Eukaryota; Metazoa; Arthropoda; Insecta; Phasmatodea; Pseudophasmatidae
Description: partial large subunit ribosomal RNA
Source: RNAcentral